CCCUUAGAUGUUUUGGGCGGCCCGCGCACUACAUUGGCACUGGCAACAAGAUCCUAGAUCUGGUAUUUCGGGGUAUUCUACCAACUGGUGUCGUGACUGGGAUUAACCCCUGCAAUUAUUGGUUAUGAACGAGGAAUUCCUUGUAAUCACGGUUUAUCAACCCGUGUUGAAUGCGUCCCUGCCCUUUGUACACACCGCCCGUCGCUCCUACCGAUGAAUCGUCCGGUGAAGUUCAUGGAGUCGCGGCUGCUCCAGCUGUUUUCGAAGUGAAAUGGACCUCAUGAUUUAGAGGAAGGAGAAGUCGUAACA
Molecule: ribosomal RNA, 309 nt
Filed under: uncultured eukaryote
Lineage: Eukaryota
Description: partial 18S ribosomal RNA
Rfam family: Eukaryotic small subunit ribosomal RNA
Source: RNAcentral